Molecule: ribosomal RNA, 484 nt
Filed under: uncultured bacterium
Lineage: Bacteria
Description: bacterial SSU rRNA
Rfam family: Bacterial small subunit ribosomal RNA
Source: RNAcentral
GCGGCGUGCCUAAUACAUGCAAGUCGAGCGAACAGAGAAGGAGCUUGCUCCUUUGACGUUAGCGGCGGACGGGUGAGUAACACGUGGGCAACCUACCUUAUAGUUUGGGAUAACUCCGGGAAACCGGGGCUAAUACCGAAUAAUCUAUUUCACUUCAUGGUGAAAUACUGAAAGACGGUCUCGGCUGUCGCUAUAAGAUGGGCCCGCGGCGCAUUAGCUAGUUGGUGAGGUAACGGCUCACCAAGGCGACGAUGCGUAGCCGACCUGAGAGGGUGAUCGGCCACACUGGGACUGANACACGGCCCAGACUCCUACGGGAGGCAGCAGUAGGGAAUCUUCCACAAUGGGCGAAAGCCUGAUGGAGCAACGCCGCGUGAGUGAANAAGGUUUUCGGAUCGUAAAACUCUGUUGUAAGGGAAGAACAAGUACAGUANUAACUGGCUGUACCUUGACGGUACCUUAUUANAAAGCCACGGCUAACUAC